RNAcentral lists this transfer RNA (90 nucleotides) under bacterium. RNAcentral describes it as "tRNA-Ser". It matches the Rfam family "tRNA". From Rfam's summary of the family: Transfer RNA (tRNA) molecules are approximately 80 nucleotides in length. Their secondary structure includes four short double-helical elements and three loops (D, anti-codon, and T loops). The record is from RNAcentral.
GGAGAGGUGGCUGAGUGGUCGAAAGCGCCGCUCUCGAAAAGCGGUAGGGCCGCAAGGUCCUCGUGGGUUCGAAUCCCACCCUCUCCGCCA